Molecule: ribosomal RNA, 317 nt
Filed under: uncultured Pseudomonas sp.
Lineage: Bacteria; Pseudomonadati; Pseudomonadota; Gammaproteobacteria; Pseudomonadales; Pseudomonadaceae
Description: bacterial SSU rRNA
Rfam family: Bacterial small subunit ribosomal RNA
Source: RNAcentral
CGUGAGAUGUUGGGUUAAGUCCCGUAACGAGCGCAACCCUUGUCCUUAGUUACCAGCACGUUAUGGUGGGCACUCUAAGGAGACUGCCGGUGACAAACCGGAGGAAGUGGGGAUGACGUCAAGUCAUCAUGGCCCUUACGGCCUGGGCUACACACGUGCUACAAUGGUCGGUACAAAGGGGUUGCCAAGCCGCGAGGUGGAGCUAAUCCCAUAAAACCGAUCGUAGUCCGGAUCGCAGUCUGCAAUUCGACUGCGUGAAGUCGGAAUCGCUAGUAAUCGUGAAUCAGAAUGUCACGGUGAAUACGUUCCCGGGCCUU